GUGAGACCAGAAACUGUACUUGGAAUGUUUUGUUGUUGGCUUUUUUUGGUGAGGGAGAUUGUCUCCAAGCUAACGUCUGUGCCUAUUUUCCUCUAUUUUGUACCUGGGAUGCCGCCACAGCAGGGCUGGACGAGUGGUGUGUAGGUCCACGCCUGGGAUCUGAACCCACAAACCCCAUGUCGGGCCACCAAAGCGGAGCAUGUGAACUUAACCACUAUGCCACUCAGCCGGCCCCUGGAUUUUGAUCUUCAGUCAUCGUCUUGACUAAAGUUUAAGCACUCAGAAAUAGUUCCUAUCAGUCCAACAGACGUCUUUACCAAUUUAGGGCUGUGUAUUUGACCAGGACUACGGGAAGGAAACGUUAAUCCUAAAAGAAAAAAAAUCACUGAAAUGAUACUGGACUGUGAAAUGGAUUGAAGUGAAGAAGAUGUGUGCGCUCUGAACCCCUGAAGCAUGAGCCUCACUCCGUCCAACAGAAGGUGGUGCUGAGAUCUGCAGAAGCCAAAUGAGGAAAUUAUGAUGAAAUAUUUGACCUACAUCGGGAAAUGUCAAUUAAAAUAAGGUACACUUGCCUGAUGCAUAUGGAGACUGAAGUAGCAGUAAUUUUCCAGCUUCUCGUUCUACUAGUUACCAACCAGCUCUACGAGCAAAAACAUCUGGGAAGCCAGAUACCAUUGGUAGAACAGGUUUUGUUUCUUUUUAUUUCCAGAAGUGCUCUAAAAUUCAUGCUCCGAAAAUCGCCAGAGGAAAAGAAUACGGGUUUGUAGUGAAAAUCUCUCUUUCACAAGAAAAGGCAUUAGAGAUAAAUUUCUUGAUUUUCCCCUGUGUUUGAUCUCCAUACAACUGACAUCCUUGUUUACGUGAUGGCUUCAGCAAGGAUUGGUCUCUCACCUCUCUGUCUGAUGCAUGGAGCACACUCCAUUUCUUUCCAAGGAUCAAAGCUCUGUUUUGCAACCUUGCGGAUUUUGUAUCUGUCCAGGGGAGUCAUAGUUGUGGCAACUCAUGGAGAAGAGAAAAAAGGAAGUGAACACAAACACACACAUGAACAAAC
RNAcentral lists this long non-coding RNA (1051 nucleotides) under Equus caballus (horse). RNAcentral describes it as "lncRNA (ENSECAG00000041942.2)". Lineage: Eukaryota; Metazoa; Chordata; Mammalia; Perissodactyla; Equidae. The record is from RNAcentral.